CGUGUAGGCGGGCAAUCGAGUCAGAUGUAAAAGGCGACGGCUUAACCGUAGUAUGUCAUCUGAUACUGGUUGUCUUGAGUUCGAGAGAGGGUGGUGGAAUUCCCGGUGUAGCGGUGAAAUGCGUAGAUAUCGGGAAGAACACCAGAAGCGAAGGCGGCCGCCUGGAUCGACACUGACGCUGAGACGCGAAAGCGUGGGUAGCAAACA
Molecule: ribosomal RNA, 207 nt
Filed under: uncultured bacterium
Lineage: Bacteria
Description: partial 16S ribosomal RNA
Rfam family: Bacterial small subunit ribosomal RNA
Source: RNAcentral